AUUGAACGCUGGCGGCAUGCCUUACACAUGCAAGUCGAACGGUAACAGGUCUUCGGAUGCUGACGAGUUGCGAACGGGUGAGUAAUACAUCGGAACGUGCAUAGUAGUUGGGGAUAACUACUCGAAAGAGUGGCUAAUACCGCAUUAGAACUACGGAUGAAAGCAGUGGAUCGCAAGACCUUGUGCUAAUAUAAAGGCUGAUGGCAGAUUAGGUUGUUGGUGGGAUAAAAGCUUACCAAGCCGACGAUCUGUAGCUGGUCUGAGAGGACGAUCAGCCACACUGGGACUGAGACACGGACCAGACUCCUACGGUAGGCAGCAGUGGGGAAUUUUGGACAAUGGGCGCAAGCCUGAUCCAGCAAUGCCGCGUGCAGGAUGAAUGCCUUCGGGUUGUAAACUGCUUUUGUACGGAACGAAAAGCCCCGGGUUAAUACCCUGGGGUCAUGACGGUACCGUAAGAAUAAGCACCGGCUAACUACGUGCCAGCCGCCGCAGUAA
RNAcentral lists this ribosomal RNA (498 nucleotides) under uncultured bacterium. RNAcentral's name for it is "partial 16S ribosomal RNA". It matches the Rfam family "Bacterial small subunit ribosomal RNA", at positions 30 to 523 of the family's 1533-position model. The record is from RNAcentral.